UGGCGAGUAGUUGUAAGGCUGUAGACAGCAGGUGCAUGAUUGCCGAAAAAGCGUAAAGCUUGCCUGCCGAGGCCGGGGAUUUGCAGCGUGUAACCGUAAAUUACGUUAUAACGCGGCCUCCGGUGUUUACAUCCGGAGGCCGUUUUUAAUUUAGGAU
Molecule: non-coding RNA, 157 nt
Organism: Sporomusa sphaeroides DSM 2875
Lineage: Bacteria; Bacillati; Bacillota; Negativicutes; Selenomonadales; Sporomusaceae
Source: Rfam